This is a non-coding RNA of Carassius auratus (goldfish), 1070 nucleotides long. Lineage: Eukaryota; Metazoa; Chordata; Actinopteri; Cypriniformes; Cyprinidae. The record is from the annotation of a RefSeq genome assembly.
AAGAAAAAAUGGUUUCUUUUAUUCUAACUCUGGGGACAUUCUGUCUGCUUGCACAAGUGUCUCAUGAAGAGGUUCAGUCUCCUGAGUCUCUGUCUGUUAAAGCAGGAGAAUCUGUCUCUAUCAGUUGCACUGGGACCAGCGGAGUUGGUGAUGACAUGAGCUGGUAUCUGCAGAAAACUGGAGAACCUCCUAAACUCCUGAUCCAUGACGCAAGUCAACUUGUAUCUGGAGUCUCAGAUCGGUUCAGUGGAACUUAUUCUGGAUAUGUAUUUACACUGAACAUACGUGGAGUCCAGUCUGAGGAUGCAGGAGUUUAUUACUGUAUGGGGUAUUAUGGUGGUGGAGUGUUCACACAGUGAAACAGCAUCGUACAAAAACCUCCCUCAUUCUGACAGCUGAGAGAAUAUGAUAAUACUGAGAAGUUCACAACAUCAGUCAGUUACGAUAUUAUCAGAUAAGUUGUGCUAAAAUUAGAUUUGCAAAUAUAAAUAGUACAUGCAUGAGAUAAUACACAUUGAUGAAUUAAUUAGACUUUAGUUCAUUAUAAAUGAAACAUGAAAUCCACGUGUUUGUUUCAGUAGUCACACACUCUUUCAUUCAGCUUGUAGCAUUUUGAGCAACAGAAUUUAAAAUCUGUAUAUUAUAUUUUAAUUGUAAUUGUACAUUUUAAAUUAAUUCAGCUGAAAUGUAGAGCCUACAGAGUAAGUGAAUCUUAGCCUUGGGCCAGUUAUGCUUAAAUUCAGAGGGCAGGAUCCUAAAACCUUCAAAAAGCAGCAGCAAAUGCUGAUGUGAGCUUUACUUUGUGCAACAUAAAGAUAACAAAUCAUAUUAUCAUAUUACACUGUUUAUAAAUAUGUGAACUCAUACCAUCAAAACACAUGAACAUUAUCUUUUAAAUUCUAUUAAAAAAUAUAGUGUUAUAUAUCAUUCAUAUCACAUUUACACAGCAAUGAAUCAAUUAAAGGAUAAUCACACAGAUGAUAAAAGGUGAGUAAUAAAAGAAUCUAUUCUUUCCUAUUUAUUUUUUAGAAAUUAGUUUAGAAAUAAGUUAAUUUAAUGUAGUGGAUCCA